CCUACGGGUGGCAGCAGUGGGGAAUAUUGCACAAUGGGGGAAACCCUGAUGCAGCGACGCCGCGUGGGCGAGGAAGUACCUCGGUAUGUAAAGCCCUAUCAGCAGGGAAGAAACAGGACAGUACCUGACUAAGAAGCCCCGGCUAACUACGUGCCAGCAGCCGCGGUAAUACGUAGGGGGCAAGCGUUAUCCGGAUUUACUGGGUGUAAAGGGAGCGUAGACGGCAGCGCAAGUCUGGAGUGAAAUCCCAUGGCUUAACCAUGGAACUGCUUUGGAAACUGUGCAGCUGGAGUGCAGGAGAGGUAAGCGGAAUUCCUAGUGUAGCGGGGAAAUGCGUAGAUAUUAGGAGGAACACCAGUGGCGAAGGCGGCUUACUGGACUGUAACUGACGUUGAGGCUCGAAAGCGUGGGGAGCAAACAGGAUUAGAUACCCCGGUAGUC
RNAcentral lists this ribosomal RNA (441 nucleotides) under uncultured bacterium. RNAcentral's name for it is "partial 16S ribosomal RNA". It matches the Rfam family "Bacterial small subunit ribosomal RNA", at positions 338 to 795 of the family's 1533-position model. The record is from RNAcentral.